UACCAGCACCCCGAGUGGUCGGGACGUUUAUUGGGCCUAAAGCAUCCGUAGCCGGUUCUACAAGUCUUCCGUUAAAUCCAUCUGCUCAACAGAUGGGCUGCGGAAGAUACUAUAGGGCUAGGAGGCGGGAGAGGCAAGCGGUACUCAGUGGGUAGGGGUAAAAUCCUCUGAUCCAUUGAAGACCACCAGUGGCGAAGGCGGCUUGCCAGAACGCGCUCGACGGUGAGGGAUGAAGCUGGGGA
This 242-nucleotide ribosomal RNA is filed under the name uncultured bacterium. Its description in RNAcentral is "partial 16S ribosomal RNA". It matches the Rfam family "Archaeal small subunit ribosomal RNA", at positions 474 to 717 of the family's 1478-position model. The record is from RNAcentral.